GUGAAGCAGCAAUUUCCAAUUUAUUAAUUACAAUCUUGCAAGAAGGGGUGUCUCAGGCAAGAGGCACACCGCCUGAGGUUUUACACAGUAUUUAUAAGACAUUUUCUGUUACAAUAUUUCUAUCUCAUUUUUUUAUGGGCCAGAUCUAGACAUAUGAUCAAUUUUAAGACCACCUUUUCAUGUAUGUAAAACUCCACCCAUAGCAUAUCUCAUCAUACAUCUCAUGACCAUUUAAAUUAGCCAUUAUAGAUUCAUAGGUGUGUUUUAAUAUUCAUCACCCCCCAUUACGGAUGCGCAAAAGGGGAUAUCUCUUGACUUUUAGUAACCCCACCAAAUAAAUAGUGUUCUUGACAUUUAAUGAAGAUGGAGCUCUCUUAUCAGUUGGCUGCAAAAACUGUUUUGCCUCCUUUGCAAAGUUGUCCUUGACUUCCAGCAGAAUCUAUGCCUGGAAAAUGCAAGCUCCCAUUAGAGCUUGGGAGGUGCAGCUCAGACUUCAUGCGCUAUUACUUCAGUGUCAAGACUCUGAAAUGUGAGAUGUUCACUUUUCGUGGCUGCAGAGGUAAUGAAAAUAAUUUUGUGACACAACGGUAUUGCAUUCAUGAGUGUGAACGCUUUGUGCCACUUUAACAGGACAUUGGCGUGCUGCCUGAGCUAACAGUUUUUGGGAAUCACUGACUAUGUAACAUGGACUCAAGCCACUAUUAUAAUUUCAGACUUCCUCUCAAUCUGCAGAUGUCCUUCUUUUCAUAUUAUCUGGAAGCUCCUGAAUAUUUUGAAUA
This is an RNA transcript of Sceloporus undulatus (fence lizard), 779 nucleotides long. It is a transcript of the gene named kappaPI-actitoxin-Avd3c-like, with no coding region annotated. The transcript has 3 exons. The record is from RefSeq and is a predicted model, not a curated record. Lineage: Eukaryota; Metazoa; Chordata; Lepidosauria; Squamata; Phrynosomatidae.